This 497-nucleotide ribosomal RNA is filed under the name uncultured bacterium. RNAcentral's name for it is "partial 16S ribosomal RNA". It matches the Rfam family "Bacterial small subunit ribosomal RNA", at positions 28 to 507 of the family's 1533-position model. The record is from RNAcentral.
GAUGAACGCUGGCGGCGUGCCUAAUACAUGCAAGUCGAGCGAACAGACGAGGAGUUUGUUCCUCUGACGUUAGCGGCGGACGGGUGAGUAACAUGUGGAUAAUCUACCUAUAAGUCUGAUAUAACUUCGGGAAACCGGCGCUAAUACCGGAUAAUAUAUUGAUCCGCAUGGUUCAAUAGUGAUAGACGGCUUUGCUGUCACUUAUAGAUGGAUCCGCGCCGCAUUAGCUAGUUGGUAAGGUAACGGCUUACCAAGGCAACGAUGCGUAGCCGACCUGAGAGAAUGAGAGGCCACACUGGAGCUGGGACACGGACAAGACUACUACGGGAGGCAGCAGUAGGGAAUCUUCCGCAAUGGGCGGAAGCCUGACGGAGCAGCGCCGCGUGAGUGAUGAAGGUCUUCGGAUCGUAAAACUCUGUUAUUAGGGAAGAACAAAUGUGUAAGUAACUAUGCACGUCUUGACGGUACCUAAUCAGAAAGCCACGGCUAACUACGUG